This 542-nucleotide unclassified non-coding RNA is filed under the name Stegodyphus dumicola. RNAcentral describes it as "integrator complex subunit 10-like, transcript variant X2". The record is from RNAcentral. Lineage: Eukaryota; Metazoa; Arthropoda; Arachnida; Araneae; Eresidae.
GAAGAUGGCGCCAAAAUACAUAAAUAGAAAUGAAACGUGCAUGUGUGUGGUGUGCCCGAUGCAGAACUUUAUGCAUACUUUAUAUUAUAUUUAUUUUUGAAAAAAAUAUGCUGCGAUGUUAUUUUUAAGCGUACAGUAUUAAAAUACUUCGUUUUAUACAAUAUUGUGGGAUAGGGCUUGAUUUAAAUUUUAACUGUGUCGAAAUUUAUUACAUUUUACAACUAAAGUCUGCAUCGUGAUUUCCAUGACAGAAGAGCUUUUUGUAAAAUUUCCAUUCCUCUUACACUACCUUCCAGAGUCCUUCAGUCUUGGUGAAUGUGCACUUAGAACGAGCUCUUUACAAGAGACAAAGCCACGGUAGUCUGUAGAUGAAAUGUCGGGACUUUGCUGGAAUACAUCGAAAAGUUAUAUAUGCAAUACCUGUAUCAGACUUCAAUUUUUCAAGGAAUGCAGUGACACUUUUCAAAGUAUGAUUUUUUGCUUUCUCCUAAUGAAAAUUCACUCUUUGAAAUAUAUUAGGAUAAAGGAAAAGAUUUCUUCUG